GCGGUAAUACGGAGGGUGCAAGCGUUGUCCGGAAUCAUUGGGUGUAAAGGGUACGUAGGCGGGAGCCUAAGUCUGGGGUGAAAUCUUGCCGCUUAACGGUAAAAUGGCCCUGGAUACUGGGUUUCUUGAGUGCAGAAGAGGCAGGUGGAAUUCGUGGUGUAGCGGUGAAAUGCUUAGAUAUCACGAAGAACAUCAGUGGCGAAGGCGGCCUGCUGGUCUGCAACUGACGCUGAGGUACGAAAGCGUGGGGAGCGAACAGGAUUAGAU
This 267-nucleotide ribosomal RNA is filed under the name Heterosigma akashiwo. RNAcentral's name for it is "partial Bacterial small subunit ribosomal RNA". It matches the Rfam family "Bacterial small subunit ribosomal RNA", at positions 517 to 783 of the family's 1533-position model. Lineage: Eukaryota; Raphidophyceae; Chattonellales; Chattonellaceae. The record is from RNAcentral.